RNAcentral lists this ribosomal RNA (1000 nucleotides) under Vibrio parahaemolyticus. RNAcentral describes it as "bacterial SSU rRNA". It matches the Rfam family "Bacterial small subunit ribosomal RNA", at positions 484 to 1470 of the family's 1533-position model. The record is from RNAcentral. Lineage: Bacteria; Pseudomonadati; Pseudomonadota; Gammaproteobacteria; Vibrionales; Vibrionaceae.
AAGAAAGCACCGGCUUACCUUCCGUGCCAGGCAGCCGCGGUAAUUACGGAGGGGUGCGAGGCGUUUAUCGGAAUUACCUGGCCGUAAAGCGCCAUGCAGGUGGUUUGUUUAAGUCAGAUGUGAAAGCCCCGGGCUCCAACCCUCGGAAUUGCAUUGAAACUGGCAGACAAGAGUACUGUAGAGGGGGGUAGAAUUCAGGUGUAGCGGCUGAAUGCGUAGAGAUCUGAAGGAAUACCGGUGGCGAAGGCGGCCCCCUGGACAGAUACUGACACUCAGAUGCGAAAGCGUGGGGGAGCACACAGGAUUAGAUACCCUGGUAGUCCACGCCGUAAACGAUGUCUACUUGGAGGUUGUGGCCCUGAGCCGUGGCUUUUGGAGCUAACGCGUUAAGUAGACCGCCUGGGGAGUACGGUCGCAAGAUUAAAACUCAAAUGAAUUGACGGGGGCCCGCACAAGCGGUGGAGCAUGUGGUUUAAUUCGAUGCAACGCGAAGAACCUUACCUACUCUUGACAUCCAGAGAACUUUCCAGAGAUGGAUUGGUGCCUUCGGGAACUCUGAGACAGGUGCUGCAUGGCUGUCGUCAGCUCGUGUUGUGAAAUGUUGGGUUAAGUCCCGCAACGAGCGCAACCCUUAUCCUUGUUUGCCAGCGAGUAAUGUCGGGAACUCCAGGGAGACUGCCGGUGAUAAACCGGAGGAAGGUGGGGACGACGUCAAGUCAUCAUGGCCCUUACGAGUAGGGCUACACACGUGCUACAAUGGCGCAUACAGAGGGCAGCCAACUUGCGAAAGUGAGCGAAUCCCAAAAAGUGCGUCGUAGUCCGGAUUGGAGUCUGCAACUCGACUCCAUGAAGUCGGAAUCGCUAGUAAUCGUGGAUCAGAAUGCCACGGUGAAUACGUUCCCGGGCCUUGUACACACCGCCCGUCAAAGGCAUGGGAGUGGGCUGCAAAAGAAGUAGGGUAGUUUAAACCCUUCGGGGGGGACCCCCUUCUACCCAAUUU